This 252-nucleotide ribosomal RNA is filed under the name uncultured bacterium. RNAcentral's name for it is "partial 16S ribosomal RNA". It matches the Rfam family "Bacterial small subunit ribosomal RNA", at positions 524 to 776 of the family's 1533-position model. The record is from RNAcentral.
UACGGAGGAUGCGAGCGUUAUCCGGAUUUAUUGAGUUUAAAGGGUGCGUAGGCGGGUUGUUAAGUCAGCGGUAAAAUUGCGGUGCUCAACGCCGUAGAGCCGUUGAAACUGGCGGCCUUGAGUGGGCGAGAAGUAUGCGGAAUGCGUGGUGUAGCGGUGAAAUGCAUAGAUAUCACGCAGAACCCCGAUUGCGAAGGCAGCAUACCGGCGCCCUACUGACGCUGAGGCACGAAAGUGCGGGUAUCGAACAGG